Molecule: ribosomal RNA, 470 nt
Filed under: uncultured bacterium
Lineage: Bacteria
Description: bacterial SSU rRNA
Rfam family: Bacterial small subunit ribosomal RNA
Source: RNAcentral
ACUCCUACGGGAGGCAGCAGUGGGGAAUAUUGCACAAUGGGGAAACCCUGAUGCAGCCAUGCCGCGUGUGUGAAGAAGGCCUUCGGUUGUAAAGCACUUCAGUAGGGAGGAAGGUAGUGUAGUUAACACCUGCACUAUUUGACGUUACCUACAGAAGAAGCACCGGCUAACUCCGUGCCAGCAGCCGCGGUAAUACGGAGGGGUGCGAGCGUUAAUCGGAAUUACUGGGCGUAAAGCGCAUGCAGGCGGCCUGUUAAGUCAGAUGUGAAAGCCCGGGGGCUUAACCUCGGAAUUGCAUUUGAAACUGGCAGGCUAGAGUCUUGUAGAGGGGGUAGAAUUUCAGGUGUAGCGGUGAAAUGCGUAGAGAUCUGAAGGAAUACCAGUGGCGAAGGCGGCCCCUGGACAAAGACUGACGCUCAGAUGCGAAAGCGUGGGGAGCAAACAGGAUUAGAUACCCUGGUAGACUGUCA